This is an RNA transcript of Coffea eugenioides, 1502 nucleotides long. RefSeq lists it as uncharacterized. The transcript is spliced from 3 exons. Lineage: Eukaryota; Viridiplantae; Streptophyta; Magnoliopsida; Gentianales; Rubiaceae. The record is from RefSeq and is a predicted model, not a curated record.
UGCCAAACAGAGAACAACGCACCGGAAAGAAGCCACAUCCUCAGGCAGGCAUGGGCAUGAAUUGUGAGUGAAAGGUCCCCUUAAAAAGAAAGGGACUGAGCCAAGGUGAAAUUGUCGAAGCAAGAAAAGGGAAAUAGGCAGAGAAUUGGAGAGAGCCUUGAUAAUUAUUCUGAUAUUAUAAUGCUUCUUAACCAGUGAGGUAUCUGUUGUUGCACUUUCUAACUGGUUCGGCUGUGCGCUGGGUGGUCGACAAAGGCAGGGAGGGAGGAAAUGCAAAGAAGAGCAUCAUGGGAUGCUCUACCCAGCACAUCCCUAGUGGAGAUAUUUUGCAGAACCCCCAUCAAAGAUCGCUUUUGCAGCCUCCCUCUGGUAUGCAGAUCGUGGGCCGACGUUUCUCGCAACCCUCGGUGCUGGGCUUCUAUGAUCCCGGCCGAACACUCAUCAUCUGCUUGUGCUUUUGAUGAUGCCUUCAUCAAACAUUCUUCUUCUUCUUCUUCUUAUAGUCGUCUUGACAGCCUCGCUUUUGACGACCCUUUUGACGGGCGGCGCAGCCCCGAUUCCGACCGCGGACUUGCUAUGCUCCGGUCUCUGAUUACCAGAGGGGCUGGCGGAGCUGCCGUUACUUCUCUCUAUUUCUUCCCUUUUCUUACUUGUGUCGAGGCUUUCCGUCCCAAUGAUGACGCCCUCCUUCGUCUCAUUGCACAAAGUUGCCCAAACUUGAGACACCUUUCUUUUCAUGGAUCCUACAAUGCAACUGAGGGAGCAAUUUUGGAAGUAAUGAGCAAAUGCCCAAAACUAGAGCUUAUUGACUUCUCCGACUCCCCAUACUUCACUCCUACAGUUUUAGAACACAUGAGCACUUGCUGUCCCGAUGUUAGGGGGAUUAGAAGAAAUGGAUUCUUGCAACCAGGUUUCGCUUCUGGUCUUGCUGUAGGCUUUCCAAAUUUGAGGAUCUUGAAUCUCUCUGGUUCAACUAUUGUUGAUAAAGAUCUACUAACUAUCAUGACUGCAAGAAUUGGGAUUCAGUACCUAGACAUUACCAAUUGCCAGCAGUUGAAGUGUUACAUGCACAUCAUAAAGCGAGCCCCUGUUCAGAUAUCCCAAAUCCUGUUUGAUUGAGAUUCAAGAAUUGAUUACUACCAGCUAUUGAACCUUGCGAGUGCCUGCUUGUAUAACCUUCAAAAUGGUGAGUUUACCAGAAUAGAACUCCAGACUCCAGAGUCGUGUGUGGUUGUUUUCUUCCUUGGCAAUGACUUGCUGUCACAUAAAAAAAAAAUGCAAGUUGCUGACUUUCAUGGGAUUGGGCUCUUCUCGUAAAUGAUGGUGAAGAGGAGCAAAUAGCUUAUUCCAAUUGCCGUGCCAGGACAGACAGCCAGUUUGUUCCACAGAGCACUUUUGAAGUUUUAGUCUUUGGGCGGCGUUAUUGCCGGAAUAAUUUUGCUCAACAAGACAAAUGGUCAAGGCUCCCCUAAUCAAACCAAUUACCGCUGGAACCCAGUUGC